UCCUUCGACCUCUUCCAAUGUAGAAGGGGAGUCUUCUGGCCCUACUGUUAGAACGCUCUCUCGAGGAGCUCAACUCUUUAUCCAAUCGCUGGAAAAAAAUCAUUCCACCUGAGAGAAUCCUGGUCUAGCCAAAGUCAUGGGCGCUUCCAUCUGCUUCCAAGAAGAUCGGAACCGAUUGACUGAAGAGAGUAUUGAUGAUAUUUUAACUCAAACAAUGAGU
This 220-nucleotide unclassified non-coding RNA is filed under the name Hevea brasiliensis (rubber tree). The record is from RNAcentral. Lineage: Eukaryota; Viridiplantae; Streptophyta; Magnoliopsida; Malpighiales; Euphorbiaceae.